Molecule: ribosomal RNA, 518 nt
Filed under: Chiroteuthis mega
Lineage: Eukaryota; Metazoa; Mollusca; Cephalopoda; Oegopsida; Chiroteuthidae
Description: partial 16S ribosomal RNA
Rfam family: Bacterial large subunit ribosomal RNA
Source: RNAcentral
GUCUCUUUGUAGUUUAUAAAUAAAGAGUCGGGCCUGCUCGGUGAAUAAAAUUGUUUUAACAGCUGCGGUAUUUUAACUGUACUAAGGUAGCAUAAUAAUUUGCCUUAUAAUUUGAGGCUAGAAUGAAUGGUUUGACGAAGGUUAAUCUGUCUCUAUUUUAUUUAUUAGAAUUUAAUUUUUAAAGUGAAAAAGCUUGAAUUUUUUAAAGGGACGAGAAGACCCUACUGAGCUUAUAAUUUUAUUAUUAUUUUGUUACUUGAUGUAUAAAGUAAUAUAUAAAUUUUAAUUGGGGUGAUUAAGGAAUAAAGAAUAUAAUUAAGUAACUUCCUUAGUUUAAAUAUUGUUAAAUAAAGUAACCAAUAUUAUUGCUUAUAGUAUAGUUACCAUAGGGAUAACAGCGUAAUUUAUUUAGAGAGUUCUUAUUGAAAAAUGAGAUUGCGACCUCGAUGUUGGAUUAAAGUAACCUUAAGGUGCAGAAGCUUUAAAAGGUAAAUCUGUUCGAUUUUUAAAACUUUACA